This 424-nucleotide ribosomal RNA is filed under the name uncultured bacterium. RNAcentral describes it as "bacterial SSU rRNA". It matches the Rfam family "Bacterial small subunit ribosomal RNA", at positions 954 to 1375 of the family's 1533-position model. The record is from RNAcentral.
GCAAAACGCGAAGAACCUUACCAGGGCUUAAAUGUAGAGUGACAGGACUGGAAACAGUUUUUUACUUCGGACACUUUACAAGGUGCUGCAUGGUUGUCGUCAGCUCGUGCCGUGAGGUGUCAGGUUAAGUCCUAUAACGAGCGCAACCCCGUGUUGUUAGUUGCCAGCGAGUAAUGUCGGGAACUCUAACAAGACUGCCGGUGCAAACCGUGAGGAAGGUGGGGUAUGACGUCAAAUCACCACGGCCCUUACGUCCUGGGCUACACACGUGCUACAAUGGCCGGUACAGAGAGCAGCCACCUCGCGAGGGGGUAGCGAAUCUAUAAAGCCGGUCACAGUUCGGAUUGGAGUCUGCAACCCGGACUCCAUGAAGCUGGAAUCGCUAGUAAUCGGAUAUCAGCCAUGAUCCGGUGAAUACGUUCCC